GCCUGGAUAGCUCAAACGGCAGAGUAUUGGACUGACGAUCCGAAGGUCCAGGGUUCAACUCCCUGUUCGGGCG
This is a non-coding RNA of Maniola jurtina (meadow brown), 73 nucleotides long. The record is from the annotation of a RefSeq genome assembly. Lineage: Eukaryota; Metazoa; Arthropoda; Insecta; Lepidoptera; Nymphalidae.